RNAcentral lists this ribosomal RNA (186 nucleotides) under Scirtothrips dorsalis. RNAcentral's name for it is "partial 18S ribosomal RNA". It matches the Rfam family "Eukaryotic small subunit ribosomal RNA", at positions 1650 to 1831 of the family's 1831-position model. Lineage: Eukaryota; Metazoa; Arthropoda; Insecta; Thysanoptera; Thripidae. The record is from RNAcentral.
UCCCUGCCCUUUGUACACACCGCCCGUCGCUACUACCGAUUGAAUGAUUUAGUGAGGUCUUCGGACUGGCGCGCGGUGUUCCUUCGGGAUCGCCGCUGCUGCCGGAAAGAUGACCAAACUUGAUCAUUUAGAGGAAGUAAAAGUCGUAACAAGGUUUCCGUAGGUGAACCUGCGGAAGGAUCAUUA